UAUCACAAGUGCGAAUGCUGACAUAAGUAACGAUAAAACGAGUGAAAAACUCGUUCGCCGGAAGACCAAGGGUUCCUGUCCAACGUUAAUCGGGGCAGGGUGAGUCGGCCCCUAAGGCGAGGCUGAAAAGCGUAGUCGAUGGGAAACGGGUUAAUAUUCCCGUACUUGGUAAAGCUGCGAUGUGGGGACGGAGAAGGUUAGGUUAGCAGACUGUUGGAUGUCUGUUUAAGUUGGUAGGUGGGAAGUUUAGGCAAAUCCGGACUUCCAUAACACUGAGAGAUGAUGACGAGUUUCUACGGAAAUGAAGUAACUGAUACCACGCUUCCAGGAAAAGCCACUAAGCGAAAGGCUUUACUAAACCGUACUGAAAACCGACACAGGUGGUCAGGUAGAGAAUACUCAGGCGCUUGAGAGAACUCGGGUGAAGGAACUAGGCAAAAUAGCACCGUAACUUCGGGAGAAGGUGCGCUGGCGUAGGUUGUARGAGUAUACCUCCGAAGGCUGAACCAGUCGAAGAUACCAGCUGGCUGCAACUGUUUAUUAAAAACACAGCACUCUGCAAACACGAAAGUGGACGUAUAGGGUGUGAUGCCUGCCCGGUGCUGGAAGGUUAAUUGAUGGUGUAAUCGAAAGAGAAGCUCCUGAUCGAAGCCCCAGUAAACGGCGGCCGUAACUAUAACGGUCCUAAGGUAGCGAAAUUCCUUGUCGGGUAAGUUCCGACCUGCACGAAUGGCAUAAUGAUGGCCAGGCUGUCUCCACCCGAGACUCAGUGAAAUUGAAAUCGCCGUGAAGAUGCGGUGUACCCGCGGCUAGACGGAAAGACCCCGUGAACCUUUACUAUAGCUUGACACUGAACAUUGAAUUUUGAUGUGUAGGAUAGGUGGGAGACUUAGAAGUGUGAACGCCAGUUUGCAUGGAGUCGACCUUGAAAUACCACCCUUUAACGUUUGAUGUUCUAACGAAGAUUACGAAACGUGGUCUCGGACAGUGUCUGGUGGGUAGUUUGACUGGGGCGGUCUCCUCCCAAAGCGUAACGGAGGAGCACGAAGGUUUGCUAAUCACGGUCGGACAUCGUGAGGUUAGUGCAAUGGUAUAAGCAAGCUUAACUGCGAGACAGACAAGUCGAGCAGGUGCGAAAGCAGGUCAUAGUGAUCCGGUGGUUCUGAAUGGAAGGGCCAUCGCUCAACGGAUAAAAGGUACUCCGGGGAUAACAGGCUGAUACCGCCCAAGAGUUCAUAUCGACGGCGGUGUUUGGCACCUCGAUGUCGGCUCAUCACAUCCUGGGGCUGAAGUAGGUCCCAAGGGUAUGGCUGUUCGCCAUUUAAAGUGGUACGCGAGCUGGGUUUAGAACGUCGUGAGACAGUUCGGUCCCUAUCUGCCGUGGGCGUUGGAGAAUUGAGAGGGGCUGCUCCUAGUACGAGAGGACCGGAGUGGACGCAUCACUGGUGUACCAGUUGUCUCGCCAGAGGCAUUGCUGGGUAGCUAAAUGCGGAAGAGAUAAGUGCUGAAAGCAUCUAAGCACGAAACUCGCCUUAAGAUGAGUUCUCCCUAGCUAUAAGCUAGUAAGGGUUGUUGAAGACUACGACGUAGAUAGGUCUGGUGUGUAAGCGGUGUGAGCCGUUGAGCUAACAGAUACUAAUUGCCCGAGAGGCUUAACUAU
RNAcentral lists this ribosomal RNA (1660 nucleotides) under Glaesserella parasuis. RNAcentral's name for it is "partial 23S ribosomal RNA". The record is from RNAcentral. Lineage: Bacteria; Pseudomonadati; Pseudomonadota; Gammaproteobacteria; Pasteurellales; Pasteurellaceae.